CUUUCUCUGUCUAUAGGAAUUGCAAUUUCUGUCCUUUCCUGCAAGACUCUGGGGGAAGACUUUAGGGAACAUCCUCCUUCUCGUGUCAACUGUGCCUCACUUCUACCAUUGAAACCACAAUUCACUAGUGGUCAGCAAUUGUCCUGCCGUUUCAUCCCUUGGGAAGAAAAGCUGGCAUUUUUCUGGCACAACGUAGAAGUGGCAUGGCCCCCCUGCAGAGUAUUGGUUCCUAAGGAAUUUUAUUAGGAGAACUCUGAAACUCCAAGGCAGUUACAUUAUUACUAAAGAGGUUUCAUGGUGUUUUAUGGAGCUUCAGCAUUUCCUCUUCCAUGAAGAGAAAAGCUCCUGGGAAGAAGAUAUUCCUCAGACAGCUGGUAACUUUUCAUUUCCGGACAUCUAAUACAGGGCAAACCAUAGAGAGUUGCUCUCCACUUGACACCAAAUCCCAAGCUCUGUGUAUUCUGUGUAUUCUUUCAAUUGGUAAGGAUCAGAAGUGAAGAUAUUUUCCUGAUACCACUGCUUUGUGAAAGUGACUGCUGGUAGGGGUUCUGAUUUUAAUCUGUACUGAAUAUGGUCAUGUCAUAAAUGCAAAUUACAAUAAUUUCCGCUCCUUUUUUUUUCAUUCCUAAAUCCAUAACCAUUUUUCUCAAUCUGAGAAGUAUCUGCAGUUGUUGUGGAAGAUCUUUUGCGUGUUAGAUGUUCUUUUGUAAGAACUUGAAUAGAAUUGCAGAUGAAAUUUCUAUUUUAUGCAGGACUUGCUCUGGAUGAAACAUAUAACAUUCUCUAAAAUUAUCUAAAUUUAUGUAUGUGUGUAUGCUUGUAUUCAAAUGUCUAGUGCUUCCUGGCUACAAAGUAUUUUUUCAAGGAACUAGGUCUACAACAUUAUAUAAACUUUUUUUCAAACAUUGGAACAACACACAGUAAAUUGAAAAAAACUAUUAAAGACAGGAAGUAACUGAUGUAGAAAUAAUCUGAAGUAUUUAUUGCUUUUCUGCCUACAACUAACUCUUUUAUUUUCCUCUUUGUCUUUUUUUUGUUCGAGUAAAAAAAUCAUCAGGGU
RNAcentral lists this long non-coding RNA (1060 nucleotides) under Cyanistes caeruleus (blue tit). Its description in RNAcentral is "lncRNA (ENSCCEG00000013815.1)". Lineage: Eukaryota; Metazoa; Chordata; Aves; Passeriformes; Paridae. The record is from RNAcentral.